GCAACUGUGCUAAUAAAGCAGGCAGGCUGUGCCACGUUCUGCAGGCAUGAUGAGUAAGAGCAUACCUGCGGACCACUGAUUUGCCCAAAAUGCCCAGAGCAGUGCUUGAAAUCAUCUGUGAUGUGAUGCAUUUGUUCCACCUCAUCCACCUCGAGGCAUCACAGGAUGAGGUCUUCAGGGAUGAACUGAUUUACACAACCUUACUCAACUCACAUUACACCUCUCUGGCUCUCUUCCACAUCUCCAAGAGGCGUUAGAGGCUUUUGGACAUUUGGUUCCCUUCACCGCAGCUAUGAACAAUUCACUAGG
This is a long non-coding RNA of Pygocentrus nattereri (red-bellied piranha), 309 nucleotides long. RefSeq lists it as uncharacterized. The transcript has 4 exons. The record is from RefSeq and is a predicted model, not a curated record. NCBI's taxonomy places the organism in Eukaryota, Metazoa, Chordata, Actinopteri, Characiformes, Serrasalmidae.